Molecule: ribosomal RNA, 116 nt
Filed under: Pseudomonas sp.
Lineage: Bacteria; Pseudomonadati; Pseudomonadota; Gammaproteobacteria; Pseudomonadales; Pseudomonadaceae
Description: partial 16S ribosomal RNA
Rfam family: Bacterial small subunit ribosomal RNA
Source: RNAcentral
AAGGCGCUGCGCUAACCGCAAGGAGGCAGGCGACCACGGUGGGUUUAGCGACUGGGGUGAAGUCGUAACAAGGUAGCCGUAGGGGAACCUGCGGCUGGAUCACCUCCUUUCUAAGG